Molecule: long non-coding RNA, 836 nt
Organism: Cygnus olor (mute swan)
Lineage: Eukaryota; Metazoa; Chordata; Aves; Anseriformes; Anatidae
Exons: 2
Source: RefSeq, a predicted model, not a curated record
GCGCCCGUCGCCAAGGUGACCCCGCCGCGAGGCCACGCCCCCUUCGAGGAGGCCACGCCCCCUGGUGGUGCCGGCCGGGGGGGGAAUGGCAUUUAAUGGCAAGGGGAAAUUAAAAGGGGCAGGGGAAAGGAACCUCCUCCGGGGCGCUGCAGCAGCUGGGCGGGGGGAGAGGGACGCAGGGAGGGGGUAGGAUGGUUAAACGAGCCCGGAGCGCCAAAGGAAGGAAUAGGGAAAGGGUGAUGGAAAGCCGCUUGUACAGGAGAACCGGCUGCAGUACGACCAUUUCCAAACAGCCCCCAGCUUUACAGCUCAGCACAGCGGAGGACAGGGAGUGGUGAGAGACGCAUGUCAAACUUCCCCAUGGCUCAUAGAGAUACUGAAAACAUUUAGAUCACUUCUACAAGCGUGUUUCUACUCAUCUAACAGAAAUAAAAGGUCUUCGACCAUCACAGCAUGCUCCAAGGUUUCUACCACCAUGUCUGCCAGCCUCACUACGUCAGCCUACAACAAGUAUACCAAAGCACUCAUUUUAAUAACAAACCAAAACAUUUCUUCAGUUUACAGCCUAAAGUGAACAGAUAUUUAAAAACUAACAGAGCCACCCUCCACCAGACUUUCAUUUCAGAAUUCAUUGAUCAGCACUGAAGUGACAUUUACCUGCAUGAGACCAACUUACGCCGUUAGGGCCAGUGCAUGCUUUCCCUCCCACACCCCAAAUUCCAGUUUAGCAUUCAUUACAAACGAGUAAAAAACAUUUUUGUCAUCUUACAGAGCUAUUUUAUGAUGACAACUUUCCCAACUGCAAGUCACUUUUGUUUCAUCUGCAAGGCACAGAG